RNAcentral lists this ribosomal RNA (263 nucleotides) under uncultured archaeon. Its description in RNAcentral is "partial 16S ribosomal RNA". It matches the Rfam family "Archaeal small subunit ribosomal RNA", at positions 716 to 982 of the family's 1478-position model. The record is from RNAcentral.
AGUCACUGACAUUAGAUACCCGCGUAGUCCAGGGUGUAAACGCUGCAGACUUGGUGUUGGAGGCCCUUUGGGGGCAUUCAGUGCCGGAGAGAAGUUGUUAAGUCUGCUACUUGGGAGUACGUCCGCAAGGAUGAAACUUAAAGGAAUUGGCGGGGGAGCACCGCAACGGGAGGAGCGUGCGGUUUAAUUGGAUUCAACACCGUAAACUCACCAGGGAAGACUGUUACAUGAAGGUCGAGAUGAAGACUCUGCUAGAUUUUCAG